Molecule: long non-coding RNA, 1685 nt
Filed under: Hordeum vulgare
Lineage: Eukaryota; Viridiplantae; Streptophyta; Magnoliopsida; Poales; Poaceae
Description: long non-coding RNA (HVUL_LNC021266)
Source: RNAcentral
GUCAGACUAGUUUUAGUCCCUUGGGUCCAAGCACCCUCUAAAGAACAACUCUACGUUGUCUACGCGUCUUUCUCCACGGCAACUCUCCAUAUUCUUGAUGCCAAUUACUCUCCCACAAUUGAUUCCUGUCUCCCUCUUCACCUUCUCCACUGAAUGCCAUUCUUCUACCUCCCAUUAUUACCUAUUGCAGCAAAGAAGCGGAAAAUUGGGUUCUCCCUCCUCACGUAUGAGUAUCCCGAUUAGUUCCGUGUGGCUCAUUGGUUCUACCUUUGUGUAAACUCCGGCCGAUCUCGCCUUUGGAGUUCAAGAAUGCGUCUAGGAGGAGUAGGUCGUGAGGAUUCCACAAACGGUCGCCCGAGCUGUUCGCAAAUCGGGGAGGGACAUUAACAGGUGGAUUUUGUCUAGGCACAACUUGGAUGCAGAUGUCCCUUGGGGGCCAUAAGGGAGACGAUGACAACAAUCCAAAGAGGGUCAAUCGCGAGGCACCAGUUGACCAUGUACCAGGAAAGCUAGCAGUGAGAUUGAUGGGGCGAAUCUGAAGUCCCUAUUGUUCAAUCACAUCACAUGUUGGUGUCGCGCGUCGUAGACACAUAUGCAGUCAUUAUCGUUGGUUGCGACCUGUUUUUGUCCCCUUUCCGUACCAGUUUCUUCCUGAUCCCUCCUACCCGAUCGACUUUCUCUACUCUGAUGCUUCUUUACUGUAUCCUGCACUUAACUGUUCAUUAGUUUUCUUGCUCUUUCCUUGAGUUUUUUCAGAGACGAGUCGAAGUUGGAAGUAUGGGUCACACCCGUGUGUUAUCAUACAAGUAUUUGCCAAACUCAAUAUUUCAGCAGGUUAUCAGCACUGUAGUUCUUUUUUUUUUGGAAAAGGAGGAACAAAGCCCCCGGCCUCUAUCCUUUGCAAUAAUAUCUGCACCGGACCAAAUUCAUGAUUCAUCUCAGUUCCUUAAUCCAUGUUCAUUGUAACUUCAUUGAGUCUCUCAUUUUGAUUAUUUAUGUAAUUUGUGCUUGAUCUUAAACCAUUGCCAAUUGGAGAUUUGGAUUGAGUGAUCAGUAAUGCCACGGUUCAUGACCAUACAGUUACUAGUUUUAUUGAGAAGAGAAGCUUUGAUCUAUACUUCUAUUAUUGCUUUUCCUGUACUCUAUGCAGAUUAUGUUCUCUGUGUGGAUUCUUUUCUAAUGUCCAUCAAGGAGUUGUUUGAUUAAAAUCGAAGCAGGUCAGUCAUCUUGCUUAAUAUGUAUUAUUGUCAUCUAGCAUUUUUUUUAGUCUGAUGCACAUAUUCAAAAGGCUUGCAAUUGCAAAAGUUUUUUCCCAACAACAAUACACACACACUACCAAUUGUAAUAUGACCACAUUCUUAUUCUUCCAAUUUAUGGUUAUAUUAUUCUUACAUUUGUGUAAGUCCAUCUCUCAUUUUUUUCAGCUACCCUAAAUCUCCUUGAGAGUAACAAAUAACAUAUGCAGGUGAUGCUAAAACUGGUGUAAACGAAGAUCGUGUUUAUAGACUUGCCAACACAUGGUGUAUUUUUGGGUAUGUGUAGGUUGUCUUUCUGGCAAGUAAAAGUAUUUGUAUUGUUUUGGUUGUUUGUUGUAAAUUGAUUUCUAUAUAUGCUAAUAUGGAAUUUGGUUAUCCCAUUUAGUUUAUUAAAUUCUCGCCAUCAUUUUUGUUGUACAUUUGUUCGUA